Non-coding RNA from Lolium perenne, 806 nucleotides. The record is from RefSeq and is a predicted model, not a curated record. NCBI's taxonomy places the organism in Eukaryota, Viridiplantae, Streptophyta, Magnoliopsida, Poales, Poaceae.
CAGGCAACCGUAUAGAUCAGUUCAAGGACCCUCUAAAAGAAGGUUAUAUACCAUAGAGAGCUUCAUCUUUGAAGAUGCACGCAAGAAAUACAGGACAGCGGAUCAACAAUAUAGAUUCAAAUUUACUCAGCGCACAAAGGUCCACCUCUGGGAAAAAAAAGGUAGGCCAAAGCAUUGGCUACUACACCCAGCAAGAAGCACAUCAACAAAGAGCUCUUCCGACGAUAGCAAAAGUCAGCCAAAAAAGGGCCAGCUUAGCUAAAAAAUCCAAGACAGAGAAGGAAUGAAGCAGCAAAGACAAAGACUGAGCGCCUUGGAAGAUUAUCCAUGUUUAGAUGCUCUUUGAUAGUCUGCUAAUAUAGUUUGUGUUGACACAUUGGUAAAGAAAGCAUAUGAAGAAUGGAUGCAUGAUGUAGGAUACGAUGGUAAGGCACUCCAGAGCUUCAAGCACAAUCUGUCACAACCACAAGUGAUACAACAGCAGCUUCAACAAGUAACCAUGCUUCACAUGGUCCGGUCAAUGCAUAGAAACAAUUAUUUGCAGGAAAAGUUAGCCAAACUUCCAAAGGUAAUACAAGGAAAGACCUGCUAAUCUACGUUCGGUCUCUAGGAAUAAACACUUCUAUUAUACUGUAGUAUUAAGUGCCCAUCAGGCAAAUAAUUAAAUUACCUUUGUUGUGCUACUAUGUUCUUUAUUAUACUUCGUUUCUUUGAACUUCCAACUAUUAAGUUUCUGCUAGGCAAGCAUGUGUACUUAUGUUAGAUGGAACAUGAUUAUGUUAGAUGGAACAUAAGGGAACAUAUUC